AGAUUGAACGCUGGCGGCGUGCUUAACACAUGCAAGUCGAGCGGUAACGCGGGAGCAAUCCUGGCGACGAGCGGCGAACGGGUGAGUAAUGCUUGGGAAUCUGCCCAUUAGUGGGGAACAACCAGCCGAAAGGUUGGCUAAUACCGCAUACGCCCUACGGGGGAAAGCGGGGGAUCGUAAGACCUCGCGCUAAUGGAUGAGCCCAAGUCGGAUUAGCUUGUUGGUAGGGUAACGGCCUACCAAGGCGACAAUCCGUAGCUGGUCUGAGAGGACGACCAGCCACACUGGGACUGAGACACGGCCCAGACUCCUACGGGAGGCAGCAGUGGGGAAUAUUGGACAAUGGGGGCAACCCUGAUCCAGCGACGCCGCGUGUGUGAAGAAGGCCUGCGGGUUGUAAAGCACUUUUAGUGGGGAUGAAAGCUCAGGGUUAACACUCUGGGUCUUGACCUAACCCACAGAAAAGCACCGGCUAACUCUGUGCCAGCAGCCGU
RNAcentral lists this ribosomal RNA (494 nucleotides) under uncultured bacterium. RNAcentral's name for it is "SSU rRNA". It matches the Rfam family "Bacterial small subunit ribosomal RNA", at positions 26 to 518 of the family's 1533-position model. The record is from RNAcentral.